RNAcentral lists this transfer-messenger RNA (375 nucleotides) under Actinomycetota bacterium. It matches the Rfam family "transfer-messenger RNA". From Rfam's summary of the family: Bacterial tmRNA, also known as 10Sa RNA or SsrA, is named for its dual tRNA and mRNA-like properties. Lineage: Bacteria; Bacillati; Actinomycetota. The record is from RNAcentral.
GGGGGUGACAGGUCUCGACUCCGGACGUCGAGGCAGGGGAAGCGGGCCGAGGAAGCCGACGAUGAUCUCGUUAACCAACAACGUCGGACAACACACAAGCGCCGACAACAGUCGCCGCGGCACCGCUGCUUACGCCCUCGCGGCCUAGGUAGCGUGCCUGUCAGCCUGAGAGUGCCUCCGGCUCAGGACCUGGCAUCGACAGGAGGACCACUCUCCGCCCCGGCCACGGGGGUGGGGAGUGAACCCACAGUGGCUGAGCCUGUUCCCGGCUCGCUCGCGUGACCGGGAGGGCUGAGAAAAGCACAGCGAGCUGCGCCCGGAGAAGCCCUGUUGCGGUGCCGGAGGACGCGGGUUCGAUUCCCGCCACCUCCACCA